Molecule: ribosomal RNA, 253 nt
Filed under: uncultured bacterium
Lineage: Bacteria
Description: partial 16S ribosomal RNA
Rfam family: Bacterial small subunit ribosomal RNA
Source: RNAcentral
UACGUAGGCAGCGAGCGUUGUUCGGAGUUACUGGGCGUAAAGGGUGUGUAGGCGGUUUUCUAGGUCUGCUGUGAAAACUCGAGGCUCAACCUCGAGACGUCGGCGGAAACCAUCUGGCUAGAGUCCGGAAGAGGAGAGUGGAAUUCCUGGUGUAGCGGUGAAAUGCGCAGAUAUCAGGAAGAACACCCGUGGCGAAGGCGGCUCUCUGGGACGGUACUGACGCUGAGACGCGAAAGCGUGGGGAGCGAACAGG